RNAcentral lists this ribosomal RNA (472 nucleotides) under uncultured bacterium. RNAcentral's name for it is "partial 16S ribosomal RNA". It matches the Rfam family "Bacterial small subunit ribosomal RNA", at positions 28 to 507 of the family's 1533-position model. The record is from RNAcentral.
GACGAACGCUGGCGGCGUGCUUAACACAUGCAAGUCGAACGCUGAAGCUUGGUGCUUGCACUGGGUGGAUGAGUGGCGAACGGGUGAGUAAUACGUGAGUAACCUGCCCUUGACUCUGGGAUAAGCCUGGGAAACUGGGUCUAAUACUGGAUACGACAUGUCACCGCAUGGUGGUGUGUGGAAAGGGUUUUACUGGUUUUGGAUGGGCUCACGGCCUAUCAGCUUGUUGGUGGGGUAAUGGCUCACCAAGGCGACGACGGGUAGCCGGCCUGAGAGGGUGACCGGCCACACUGGGACUGAGACACGGCCCAGACUCCUACGGGAGGCAGCAGUGGGGAAUAUUGCACAAUGGGCGGAAGCCUGAUGCAGCGACGCCGCGUGAGGGAUGACGGCCUUCGGGUUGUAAACCUCUUUCAGCACGGAAGAAACGAAAGUGACGGUACGUGCAGAAGAAGCGCCGGCUAACUACGUG